UUGUUUUUGUAUUGGUGUAAAUUAACCGACUGGAUAUCUUUAACAUAAAUCUUUAAAUGGUAUGUUUAAUUGUUGAAAAAAAGAUUUGUAAAUCAUUAGCGUAUAAAACAUGGAGAAAUAUCAUAAUAUUUGGAUGUUCAUCCAAUAACAUGAUCACGAUUCCUUGUGGACAACUACACCUCAUUCUCAUCAUUUUGACUUGCUUCCCAAGACACAUAAAUGGAGCAUCGCUUGGUGACCUUUGUAUAACAGACAAUAAUUGCAGCAGCUUGGCAAAUUCCGAGUGCAGGAGAAUAUUUGACUGUACCACCGGGACUUGCGUGUGCCGGUCAGGAUAUGGAAACCAAAAUGGCAAUGGAUGUGACAAAAUAUUACGUGGAUUUGGCCAAAGUUGCGGGUCGGCUUACUACUGUAAUGGAGCAAACCAGGAAUGUGACACAACGACAGGCAGAUGUGCUUGUACAUACUGGUAUGAUUAUCACUCUAAAGCAGGAGAGUGUGUUCUCCGUACAUACAAAAUCUUGGGAGAGACUUGCGGUGGCAGGUAUUCUGUGCCUUGUCUUCAAACGCUUCUAGAUUCAGGAGGACAGUGUGCCAGUACAUGUAGCUGUCAGUCUGGAUAUGUAGCUGACACAUCCGAGUCAUACACCACGUGCCGGUCACCGCGAUGGGGCGAAAGUUGUCAGUGGUCACCGCUGUGUGUCGUUUCAUUCAAUACUUCCACAAUAUCAGACGACACAUCCAGCAACGUUCCAACGUGCACCAACAACAUAUGCACAUGUCCUCCAUCACAUGAGCAUAGAUAUGUUAAUGGUUAUAAUUUGUGUCUAAAGUGGACGCUGGUUUUGAGCGCUACAACAACGGUGAGAAUUGUACACACUUCAGUGAAUGUCAAAGUUUCCUUUGUGUGAAAUGUCCAGGUGCAGCAAGUGGUGUUUGUAUGACAGAUUCAGACAACACAGAGUACUCGGAAGCUGUAUCUAUACACUACAUGUCUGCAAUAAGAUGGAUGGGCGGACUAUUUUUAUCUAAUUUAGUCGUUCUUUUCUUUUGAAGUAACUAAACAUUAGUUGGCAAAGUACCAAGUUUCUCAAUUAUUACGCAUACUUCUGGAGCGCUUAUUGAAUGUUUUAGGAGAAAACAACCGUUCGCCUAUAAUUAAAAAUCUGAAAUUGCAGACCACCAUUUCCAGUUAGAAUGCAAGCGACCUGAAUAUAUGUAGGAUCUAGAUAUCUCCAGUUAAAUAUAGAGGACUUUGAACAAUCAACACACCAGCAAGGUUUUUGUUCUAUUACAUUCAUGAUACUCUUCACUACUGCAAUUUUAUGUUCCAAAUCAAGAUAUAAACGUAUGCUCGAAUUUCAUUUCUGAACUCAUUAACGGCAUGUUUUGUUACAUGUUUCUCAUAGUGCAUAUCAAUAUCACUGUUUUCACUGAGGUCUAGUUUUGUAUGUGUCAGCAACAGGAAACAGUUUUGGAAUAUACCUAAUUCGAACAUCAUAUUCCGCAUUAUUGCUUCGUUGUUAAAAAAUGACAAAAUCACUUACUUAUGUUCACUGUUCAUUUACAAUUUUCAAAUAAAUCAUUUAUCAUUUCGCAUUUCAAUUAUUGAUAUGAAAAAGCUUCAGUUCUUUGGACAACUAUGCCGCUUACCAGGUAGAUAUUUGGCCAAGCAUUUAUUCCUACAUAGACUGACCAGAUUUUUGAAUUACGAUCGUCAAACACGCGGCUUUAUACCGGAUGUAUACAGCAUCCAACAAUACAACUGGUUACUAGUAUUUUAUAAAUACUUGAAAUUUAUUACGAGUUACAAUGACGUUAAUUCUAUUUAUGCUGAUUACCGAUUGUACGUAAGUUUGCAAAGUGCACUUAUGCUAUUAUAUUAUUGUUAAAAACAAAAUUGCUUUGCAGUCUGAGCCAGAUUAUGACAUAUAUUGCAGUUGUUUGCAUACGAAAUAUUUUAUAGUUUUAGCUGUAUAUGAAUUUAAGCGUUCAUAUCAGCGCUAUUGUACUUUCAUGCUCAACAGUGGGAUUUAUUUUUAUCAGUUAGAGAUAGUACCUAAAAUUUGAAUUAUGAUACACAAUUAACAGACAAAAAGAACUGACGGUGAGUGGUCAUAUAUAACAAGCAAAUUCGAUGAAUUGGUAUCCCCCGCCGAAAGGGUUUGUGGUGAGGAAUGGCAAAAAAAAUAUAUCCGGCAAAAAGUUAAGGAUGUUACUAUAUAUAAGAAGCGAAUAAUUUCAUUAAUCAAAAUCAAUUUAACAGAAAACAAAUGUUUAAUUAAAGAGUACAUAAUAAAUGUAUGAUACUUUGAUCCUGACUAAAGAAUUUAUUUUGAAUGGUAUAUGUUUACUGUAAUAAGCUUAGCUUUUAAAAUUAAAUGCAGUUAAUUGAAAUGUGAGCUUGAAGUUUAGGUGGAACGAAAUAUUGUCUGAGUGGUUUGGCACCAAGCGUUGCUGUUUAACAUGUACAUUAGAACAUAAAAGAACAGAUGUCCUUAAGAGAACACAAUCAAGUAAAAUAUCUUGAACAUGGCUGGGGACAAGAUUGGUGUAGUUAC
RNA transcript from Mercenaria mercenaria, 2561 nucleotides. It is a transcript of the gene named cell death abnormality protein 1-like, with no coding region annotated. Lineage: Eukaryota; Metazoa; Mollusca; Bivalvia; Venerida; Veneridae. The record is from RefSeq and is a predicted model, not a curated record. The transcript has 9 exons.